RNA transcript from Daktulosphaira vitifoliae (grape phylloxera), 2043 nucleotides. It is a transcript of the gene named phosphatidylinositol glycan anchor biosynthesis class U protein, with no coding region annotated. The transcript is spliced from 9 exons. Lineage: Eukaryota; Metazoa; Arthropoda; Insecta; Hemiptera; Phylloxeridae. The record is from RefSeq and is a predicted model, not a curated record.
UUGUUCUCAUUGUUACAAACAAUGAGAACAAUAGAAACCCGUUUCCUGACUUACUGAACACCCUGUAUACUAAAAAAUAACGAAAAAAAAGGUGACUCAGUAACACACAUAAAAUUGUUUUGAAAAAAAAAACAAAUAAUUUAAUAACUAUACACAACACGAAUAAUUUUCAAGAUAUUUUUGUGGGUGUCAAGAUGACAUAACGUAUAACGUAUAAACGGGAUCCAGAUAGUAACAACAAGAUCAGCAAGGUCAGUAAGUCAAUCCAGAAGCGUCAUUUCAACUGGUCAGGUAGUCAGUCAGCCCUGAAGAAUACCAAACAUCCUAGAUGUAGAACAAGAAAAAAAAAAUUUGAUGUGAAAUGUCAACCGUCAGAGUUUGCAUUUUAAAGUUGUUAAAAUUUUACUAUGGUUUUAUAGCAUUAAAUUAAAAAUUUGGUAGACAGAAGAAUUUAUGGGAAAACUACUAUUUUUUGUAUAUAUAAUUGGUAUCCUUAUUAGGAUAUACUUAAGCCUCAAUGACUUCAGUACAUUAAUAGCAGACAGAGUUGAAAUUUCAACACCUUUAAAUUCAUGGAAAAAAGUAAUUGAAGGAGUUUCAUUGUAUAAUCAAAAUAUCAAUCCAUAUGAUGGAGACUUGUUUCAUGAAACACCACUGGCUCUUAUUUUCUUUAGUUUUUUAACUUCAAAACUGUCACAGUUUUAUAUAUCAUUAAUAUUUAUUGUCUGUGAUCUUUUAACAGCUUUUAUUUUAUAUUUAACAUCAAAGAUUUUUACUAAAAAUCUGCUUAAAAAUCAAGUAGAAAUCAAGCAUACUUAUAUGAAACAAUUUUCAUCAUUAUUAAUACCUGAUUAUUUUGCUGAAAUAAAUCCAGUUUAUGUUUGUUCAGUCUAUUUACUGAAUCCUUAUACAGUAUUAAGUUGUGUUUCCAAAACAACUACUGUCUUCAAUAAUUUAUUUCUGGCAAUUUUUCUGUAUGCGAUGGUGAAACGACAACGUCUAUUGGGAAGUGUUAGUUUAGUAUUAGCAUCUUUGUCUACAUUUUAUACUUUCGGUUUAGUAGCACCUUUAAUGAUAAGUUGUGCUCCAACUGAAAAUAAGAAAAAGACUGGUUCUUAUAUUAUAACAUUUCUGGUAUGCUUAUUAAUAAGUUGUGCUUUAUUAUACGUAUGUUUUAUUAUAAUGGGUGAAUGGAUGUUCCUAGAUUCAGUUUAUGGUUUUAUAUUAAAUGUCAGAGAUCUAAAACCAAACAUUGGAUUAUUCUGGUAUUUUUUUACUGAAAUGUUUGAACAUUUUCGGGCACUAUUUGUGUGUGCAUUUCAAUUAAAUGCAUCUAUUUUGUAUGUUAUUCCGUUAAGUAUUCGUCUUCGUCAUGAUCCACUUCUGUUGGCAACUAGUUUACUAGCAUUAACCGCUGUAUUCAAAUCUUAUCCAAGCAUUGGAGAUGUUGGGUUUUAUUUAAGUCUAUUGCCAAUUCAUAGGCAUCUAUUUUACUUUAUGCAGCAGGCUUUCAUUGUUUCAUGUUUCUUUGUUGGAUGCACAGUAUUUGCACCUACUGUAUGGCACUUAUGGAUAUAUUCAAGAUCAGCAAAUGCAAAUUUUUAUUUUGGAGUUACUCUUGCAUUUGCAACAACUCAAAUAUUUCUUAUAACAGAUUUGUUAUUUGCUUAUAUUAAGCGAGAUUUCGCUAUAAAGCAUGGAAUGAAACGAGUUAUAAAUGGUAAAGAAGCCAGACUUAUGCUUGAUUAAUCAAUCAUUAUCAAUUAAUUUUAUCACAAAUGUUUUUUACUACUAAUUAGCAAACUUUAAAUGCCAAAAGAAAUUUCUACAAAUAUUAUUUAUACAUAUUUAUAAAUAAAAUUUUAAAUACAAACAAAAAUAAUUUAUAAUUUUAAUAAUAACUUUUUUUGAUUAAAUAAAUAAAAAAUUAAAACCUAUGUUAAAUUUUUUGUCCCUGUUUCUCCUGCUAUAUAGCUAUAAAGUUUCAUCAAAUUGUGUGCAUUUUGUUGUUUGCCAAGAUAUCUAAAAUAAUUUUUUUCUUUU